Molecule: long non-coding RNA, 247 nt
Filed under: Neogale vison (American mink)
Lineage: Eukaryota; Metazoa; Chordata; Mammalia; Carnivora; Mustelidae
Description: Neovison vison (American mink) lncRNA (ENSNVIG00000008135.1)
Source: RNAcentral
AGACUGAAGAGCGGCGGCAAGAAAGGAGUUGGUCUCCGCAAACCGCCAGAAGUCAAGACUCCUCUCCUAGCUGUUGGUGGGGGAUUCUAUGCUGUCCAACCAAGUUCUCUGUCAGUUUUGACAACUUUGAACCUAAGAAAGGAUGUUGAAUGAGGAAGGUCAAUCACUGAAAAGCAACAUUCAACUAAUCAGAAACCACAGAUAUGAAAUAGGAAGAUUUUGGAUAAAUCAUUAUCAAGGAAGCUAA